Exaiptasia diaphana is the source of this 664-nucleotide long non-coding RNA. RefSeq lists it as uncharacterized. The record is from RefSeq and is a predicted model, not a curated record. NCBI's taxonomy places the organism in Eukaryota, Metazoa, Cnidaria, Anthozoa, Actiniaria, Aiptasiidae. The transcript has 3 exons.
UAURCACGUUAUGUAGAGUGGGCACGUGAAUGGACUUACAUCAGGCAAUAUGAAGAAAACGACUUCUUUGGUGUUMCUGGAAGGGCUGGUGGUCGACCAGCUGGUGCUUUUCGUGGUGGAUUUCUAGGAACAAGAAAGUGUUCUGGAAAUAAGUGCGAAAUAGAKUGCACCCAGAYGUUCAACGACAACACUUGUACAGGAACUGGAUCAGAGGGWRMAGUCAUUCUCCAAAGGAAAGUGUUUGAAAARUGUGAAACGUACGUAGGUKAGGUGAAGAGGCAGCUAAAUCAGUUCUGGAACGAACACGUCUUGACAACGUCUGAAAAAUGGAAAAAAUACGGAGAAGACGCCAAAGAAAAGUUGAAAGCUGUUACAUGUCAGUCUGAAUAAAGAGCGUUCCUCCUGCACUAUUGCAAUGUUUCGCUCAUAAACUUCUUCAAUUAUAAAGACACUGAGAUUUAUGCACUAGUCAAUUGGGGAAUACCGGGGAUUUUAACGGUAGUCGGGGGCACAUUCAUUGUUAAAAUCCCCGCUACUGUUGCCCCGCUAUUUUGGUAGUAUUAUAUAACAAAGCAAAGCCGACUGGUCUUUCAAUCAAAUUUUCUGUGAUACACAGGGUUAGCUUUUGCACAAUCCUGUGUAUUCAUUUGCGUACUACAUGAGG